RNAcentral lists this unclassified non-coding RNA (571 nucleotides) under Leishmania donovani. Its description in RNAcentral is "gene:unknown". The record is from RNAcentral. Lineage: Eukaryota; Euglenozoa; Kinetoplastea; Trypanosomatida; Trypanosomatidae.
CCUCAUCCUACAUACGAAAGUACUCAUCGCUGUGCACGCACACGGCGGACCGUCCCUCCCCUCCACCAGAUCGACGCGAGAGAGGGAGUGCAAUACAGUGGAUGCUAUGCAGGUACACACACACACACACACACACGCACGGAGGACGGUGCAUCAAGCUGACCCCCUCCACCCCUCCUCCUUACUCGUAUCUCUCUCUCCAACUUUGAGGAGCGUGUCCAAAUCUAUAAAUACAUGCGUGUGCGUGUGUGUGUGUGCCGGAUGCCGAGUCCUCUCGCCCGUUCGCAAAACAAAGUCGUUUGCCACGAUACGUGCGUGCAUCGGCUUGUCGCCACCCCGUGAACAGGCAAGCGGGCCACAAAACGGCACGACGAUGCUCACCAGUGCCGUCACCACCUUGUGCGUAUCGAAGGUCCAUCUUCUUUCUCCUCUCAACACCCUACUUUCGCCUUCGAACCUUCCUGCGCCUUCUUCCAUAUGCGCGCACUACCAACGACGCAAUCACGUCCUUGGUACGCACUUCUACACCGACACGCACAAAACACGUGUGUGCCCACACGCGCACACGAAG